Molecule: ribosomal RNA, 497 nt
Filed under: uncultured bacterium
Lineage: Bacteria
Description: partial 16S ribosomal RNA
Rfam family: Bacterial small subunit ribosomal RNA
Source: RNAcentral
GAUGAACGCUGGCGGCGUGCCUAAUACAUGCAAGUCGAGCGAACAGACGAGGAGCUUACUCCUCUGACGUUAGCGGCGGACGGGUGAGUAACACGUGGAUAACCUACCUAUAAGACUGGGAUAACUUCGGGAAACCGGAGCUAAUACCGGUUAACAUGUUGAACCGCAUGGUUCAACAGUGAAAGACGGUCUUGCUGUCACUUAUAGAUGGAUCCGCGUCGCAUUAGCUAGUUGGUAAGGUAACGGCUUACCAAGGCAACGAUGCGUAGCCGACCUGAGAGGGUGAUCGGCCACACUGGAACUGAGACACGGUCCAGACUCCUACGGGAGGCAGCAGUAGGGAAUCUUCCGCAAUGGGCGAAAGCCUGACGGAGCAACGCCGCGUGAGUGAAGAAGGUCUUCGGAUCGUAAAACUCUGUUAUUAGGGAAGAACAAAUGUGUAAGUAACUAUGCACGUCUUGACGGUACCUAAUCAGAAAGCCACGGCUAACUACGUG